Molecule: non-coding RNA, 1294 nt
Organism: Paramuricea clavata
Lineage: Eukaryota; Metazoa; Cnidaria; Anthozoa; Malacalcyonacea; Plexauridae
Source: the annotation of a GenBank genome assembly
CGCGUUCCUAAUUUCGUUUACACAAUAUUUAUAAAGUUAUCUAACUUUUGUUUAGAGUUGAAACACGUAUUUCAGUUGCUCUAAAUACGCCAGACUUCAUUGAAUCCCGGGUAAGCGGGACCAUAUACCAUAUAACUUUAAUUUAAAAUUAAAGCCAGGAUAUUUUGUUGUUAAGAAGAGAAAUACUGCAUGUAUUUGCAAAGGCCUGAUUCCACGACGGCAAAAUUCUUCGCGAGAAAUUGUGUCUGCGAAAUAUGGAUGGUUGCACACAUGAGCGACUCCACAACCUCGUACGCAGGGUCGACUUGUGGAGAAAAAACCCUGGUAGACGCUGGUCACGUGAUCUGCUAAAAUCUAGCAGAUUUCUAAUGAACUAUCUUUGAUUCAUACAAGAAGCAAAUUAUAAACUAAACUAUAAAAAUUACCCAAAUAUCAAAUAUUUAUUGACCUCAUCUUGGAUUUCUAAUUAAAAAUCUGCUAGAUUUUAGCAGAUCACGUGACCAGCGUCUACCAGGAUCUUUUCUCCAUAAGAGGAAAGACCCUGGGUACGAGGUUGGCGAUUCCAUUGAAUUUUCCCACUUUUUCCUCUUUCGCAGUGAGUACUAACUUCUCUUUUCUACUCACUGGUGAAGCGAAUUUUUUUCUCGCAAAGCCUAAUUUAUCUUUACUGCGCAUGUACCCAAUUUCAUUUCGCGCGAACCCGAGCGCUGAUUGGUCGGGAAGCGUGUUACGUUUCUAUAUGAAUUGUAAAGAAACAGCGGAAAAUUUGCAGCCUCGCACCUCUUUUAAAUUUCAGUGAAAAUAUAAAACAAUAUAAAUACGGACAUUUUGCGUUGUCUCAUAAUAAUAUUGUCCGCAUGACAGAGAUUGAAUGUACAUAUCUUUGCCUACUAAUUCGACAAACACCUUAAAAAUUUGAGAAUCUAUAUAUAGUUUAUUUUUGGCACGGAUAUUGUAAUUAUUUGUAUAGCGAAGGAGGAACGCCACAAAACCUGCUUCGAGAAGCAAAUUCUCCCACUGAGCUUUAGAAAUUGGUCGCGCUUCAACUCUUGUUGAUAAUUGCAUGGCAAACGGUAUACAAACAACAUAUUGUCAUUCGCCUUAUAUACUAGAUGUCAAAAUUUCCGUGACCUUAUACUGUACUGAAGUCUAUAUUUGAGUACAAAUUAAAGAACUGUGAUUACUGGGUCAACCUAUACUACAGCUUGCUGAUCUGUACAGCUCAUUAUCAGAAACUUGAAACUAUAUUGUGUUUACUUGGUUUUCUGAUGUUAGAUAAUUGUCUAUCAGCCUG